AUGAAUAAACCUAGUGGGUUGUAGCUGGCUCUUCGGAGUAUGUGCACGCUCAUUAUCUUUAUCUAUCCACCUGUGCAUAAUCUGUAGUCUUGAGGGAGAUUAGAGCAACCGGUCCGUUGGGAUUGGGGUUUUGUGACUUUCUCUCGAGUCUAUGUACUUUCAUACACUACAUAGUAUGUUAUUGAAUGGAUAUCAUGGGCUUCUAUGCCUAUAAAAAAUCUUUAUA
RNAcentral lists this unclassified non-coding RNA (226 nucleotides) under uncultured Basidiomycota. RNAcentral's name for it is "sequence contains ITS1". The record is from RNAcentral. Lineage: Eukaryota; Fungi; Basidiomycota.